This 2062-nucleotide long non-coding RNA is filed under the name Homo sapiens (human). RNAcentral's name for it is "non-protein coding lnc-OR52H1-1:2". Lineage: Eukaryota; Metazoa; Chordata; Mammalia; Primates; Hominidae. The record is from RNAcentral.
GUAGUCCUUUAGAGCCUCUGGACAGAAGGAGCAGAACAGGCUUUGCUUCAUUCCUGAGGUCUACCAGAGCCUCUCACUUAAUGGAAAGAAGAAGCUAAUCUGGAGGAAGAGAACACUGACAAACACCAUUGCAGAGGGAGCCCAUGACAGUACUUCUGCCCCUCCCACCGUCUGAUGAAUACAUGUAAAGCUUAUUGAGCCUCAGAACUCUAACUACAGGGUUUCAAUAGCACAGAAACUCUGAGAAGAAAAAGAAUGUCAAAGUUCCUCCCUAAGGAGACUGAUUAGAUGCAAGUGUGUCCGGAAUUGGUGGGUUCUUGGUCUGACUUCAAGAAUGAAGCCGCGGACCCUCACGGUGCUGCUGUUUUACUAAGAGGUAUAUGAAUAAUGGAAAUGCCUCCUGUAAUCCUAGCACUUUGGGAGGCCGAGGCGGGCGGAUCACCUGAGGUUGGGAGUUCGAGACCAGCCUGACCAACAUGGGGAAACCCCCUCUCUACUAAAAAUACAAAAUUAGCUGGGCGUGGUGGUCCAUGCCUGUAAUCCCAGCUACUUGGGAGGCUGAGGCAGGAGAAUCGCUUGAACCCAGGAGGCGGAGGUUGAGGUGAGCCGAGAUCAUGCCAUUGCACUGUAGCCUGAGCAACAAGAGUGAAAGUCUGUCUAAAAAAACCAAAAAAUUUAAAAAAUAAUAAUAACGGAAAAUGCCUUUCUGCUUGUGGAUGCCGCCGAAGAAGCAUCAUCAAAGUCUCUCUUCUCCCUUCCCUCAUGUCUAAGUCAGAGUCUCCUAAAGAGCCUGAACAGCUGAGGAAACUGUUCAUUGGAGGGUUGAGCUUUGAAACAACCGAUGAGAGGCUGAGGAAGGAGCCAUUUUGAGCAAUGGGAACACUCAUGGAUUGUGUGGUAAUGAGAGACCCAAACACCAAGUGCUCCAGGGGCUUUGGGUUUGUCACAUAUGCCACUGUGGAGGAGGUGGAUGCAGCCAUGAAUGCAAGGCCACACACGGUGGAUGGAAGAGUCGUGGAACCAAAGAGAGCUGUCUCAAGAGAAGAUUCUCAAAGACCCACUUAACUGUGAAAAAGUUAUUUGUUGGUGGCAUUAAAGAAGACACUGAAGAACAUCACCUAAGAGAUUAUUUUGACCAGUAUGGAAAAAUUGAAGUGAUUGACUGAGGCAUUGGCAAGAAAAGGGGCUUUGCCUUUGUAACCUUUGACAACCAUGACUCUGUGGAUAAGAUUGUCAUUCAGAAAUACCACACUGUGAAUGGCCACAACUGUGAAGUUAGGAAAGCCCUGUGAAAGCAAGAGAUGGCUAGUGCUUCAGCCAGCCAAAGAGGUCAAAGUGGUUCUGGAAACUUUGAUGGUGGUAUGGAGGUGGUUUCGGUGGGAAUGACAACUUUGGUCAUGGAGGAAACUUCAGUGGUUGUGGUGGCUUUGGUGGCAACCAUGGUGCUGGUGGAUAUGGUGGCAGUGGGGAUGGCUAUAACGGAUUUGGUAAUAAUGAAAGCAAUUUUGGAGGUGGUGGAAGCUACAGUGAUUUUGGCAAUUACAACAAUCAGUCUUCAAAUUUCAGACCCAUGAAGGGAGGAAACUUUGGAGGCAGAAGCCCUGGCCCCUAUGGUGGUGGAGGCCAAUAUUUUGCCAAACCUCGAAACUAAAGUGGCUAUGGUGGUUCUAGUAGUAGCAGUAGCUAUGGCAGUGGCAGAAGAUUUUAAUUAGGAAACAAAGCUUAUCAGGAGAAGAGAGCAAGAGAAGUGACAGGGAAGCUACAGGUUACAAUAGAUUUGUGAACUCAGCCAAGCACAGUGGUGGCAGGGCCUAGCUGCUACAAAGAAGACAUGUUUUAGACAAAUACUCAUGUUUAUGGGCAAAAAACUCGAGGACUGUAUUUGUGACUAAUUGUAUAACAGGUUAUUUUAGUUUCUGUUCUGCGGAAAGUGUAAAGCAUUCCAACAAAGGGUUAUAGUGUAGAUUUUUAACUUUUUUUGCACCUAUGCUGUUGAAUUCUAAAUGUAAUAGUCUGAUUGUGACGCUGAAUAAAUAUCUUAAAAAAAGACUGGAAAUAACUA